Molecule: long non-coding RNA, 899 nt
Organism: Hordeum vulgare subsp. vulgare (domesticated barley)
Lineage: Eukaryota; Viridiplantae; Streptophyta; Magnoliopsida; Poales; Poaceae
Exons: 2
Source: RefSeq, a predicted model, not a curated record
UCUUGUUCAUCGGGAGCUUGUCCCAUCGCUGCUAGUCCCCUCCUUCCUCGGGAUCCCUAUCCCACUAACCACCAUGGUCGAGCUCCUCCACCUUUAUUCUGGAUGCGUCCGCGCCUCUCAGACGACUGUGUGCCUUCCAUGCGCCUGAGCAGCAGCAGCCCAGGACCCGUGCCGCCCUGCUCCCUCCAUAUGUCUUUCUCCCUAUCCAUGUUUAUGUAUCUCUGUCACGCUCAUCUCUCUCUGUUCGCUCAAUCAGGAACCUGCAGGAUAUGUCAUGGAAGCCCUCGCCCCCAGCCCACCACUGCCAUGGAUAGGAGGUCCGUGAUGUUGCAGCCAUGGAGCCGACAAGAGGAACUGCGAUCGUCGUUGCGCGCCAUGGACGGCUGCAAUCAAAGUGCCAAGUCCUCCAAUACGGCCUCUAAUUGCUCGCCCCUUCGGCCUGGAUCCGAGGAUCCCUUCAUUUCCCAGCCUCGCUGGAGACCGCGUCCCCACCCGCAACUCCCGUCGCUCAGAGUCUUUGCCUGCACCAACACCGGUGAGAUCCCCUUGUGUUUGUUCUAAAUCAAGGCUUUGCCUUUGAUUUGGUUCGAAGCCGCUCAUAGUCGUGCCACAAGUACCACAACGGCGCAUUGGCAAGUGCCUUGCAACUCCACCCGAGAGGUCCUAGGUUCAAUUCCCACGUGCCCUCAUUUUAGUGUGUUGGCUGUUCCAAUAUGCCUUGGCCUCACUGCCAUGUUAACUGGUCCACAUUAACCUGAUGACCAGCAUUACGGCCUCACUGUAGCUAGCCCAGCCUCUGCCUAUUGUUGGUAGUUUUCUUUUGUCAAAUUAAAUGCGUAUUUACACGUCAGCCAUGUUUUAGAAUGCUAAUAACUGAAUAACCGUGCGUCGGAUUAAAA